This 301-nucleotide ribosomal RNA is filed under the name uncultured bacterium. Its description in RNAcentral is "partial 16S ribosomal RNA". It matches the Rfam family "Bacterial small subunit ribosomal RNA", at positions 509 to 809 of the family's 1533-position model. The record is from RNAcentral.
CAGUAGCCGCGGGAAUACAAAGGAUGCAAGCGUUAUCCGGAAUGAUUGGGCGUAAAGCGUCUAUAGGUGGCUUUUCAAGUCCACCGUCAAAUCCCCGGGCUCAACCCCGGACAAGCAGUGGAAACUACCAAGCUGGAGUACGGUAGGGGCAGAGGGAAUUUCCAGUGGAGCGGUGAAAUGCGUUGAGAUCGGAAGGAACGCCCGUGGCGAAAGCGGGCUCCUGGACCCCACCUGACGCUGAGACGCGAAAGCCGGGGGAGCGAACGGGAUUAGAUACCCCAGUAGUCCCUGUCUCUUAUAA